This 253-nucleotide ribosomal RNA is filed under the name uncultured bacterium. RNAcentral's name for it is "partial 16S ribosomal RNA". It matches the Rfam family "Bacterial small subunit ribosomal RNA", at positions 524 to 776 of the family's 1533-position model. The record is from RNAcentral.
UACGUAGGGACCAAGCGUUGUUCGGAUUUACUGGGCGUAAAGGGCGCGUAGGCGGCUUGACAAGUCACUUGUGAAAUCUUUGGGCUUAACCCAGAACGGCCAAGUGAAACUGUCGAGCUAGAGUGCGGUAGAGGGCAGUGGAAUUCCCGGUGUAGCAGUGAAAUGCGUAGAGAUCGGGAGGAACAUCUGUGGCGAAGGCGACUGCCUGGACCAGCACUGACACUGAGGCACGAAAGCGUGGGGAGCAAACAGG